Molecule: ribosomal RNA, 253 nt
Filed under: uncultured bacterium
Lineage: Bacteria
Description: partial 16S ribosomal RNA
Rfam family: Bacterial small subunit ribosomal RNA
Source: RNAcentral
UACGUAGGGUGCGAGCGUUGUCCGGAAUUACUGGGCGUAAAGAGCUCGUAGGUGGUUUGUCGCGUUGUUCGUGAAAACUCACAGCUUAACUGUGGGCGUGCGGGCGAUACGGGCAGACUGGAGUACUGCAGGGGAGACUGGAAUUCCUGGUGUAGCGGUGGAAUGCGCAGAUAUCAGGAGGAACACCGGUGGCGAAGGCGGGUCUCUGGGCAGUAACUGACGCUGAGGAGCGAAAGCGUGGGGAUCAAACAGG